UACAGAGGGGUGCAAGCGUUGUUCGGAAUUACUGGGCGUAAAGCGCGUGUAGGCUGCAAUGUAAGUCGAGUGUGAAAGCCCUUGGCUCAACCAAGGAAGUGCAUUCGAUACUGCGUCGCUUGAGUGUCGGAGGGGGUGGCGGAAUUCCCGGUGUAGAGGUGAAAUUCGUAGAUAUCGGGAGGAACACCUGUGGCGAAGGCGGCCACCUGGGCGACAACUGACGCUGAGACGCGAAAGCGUGGGUAGCAAACAGG
Molecule: ribosomal RNA, 254 nt
Filed under: uncultured bacterium
Lineage: Bacteria
Description: partial 16S ribosomal RNA
Rfam family: Bacterial small subunit ribosomal RNA
Source: RNAcentral